UGCGUCGUUCCGGACGCCGCGGCCAUCCGCAUUUGCGGUGCGCGCGGGCGCGGGAUGGGUCGCCGCGUUGGAGAUGCCCUUAUAACCAGCAAGUGAGGUGGUCGGGAGGAUCAAGCAAUCAAAAACCAAAUUAUUUUCCUAUCUUUAUGUCUUUAGAUUUGUUUCUUUGUUCUUCCUGAGCCAAUCGGAGUUCCCACCUAUCUCUUCCAUGUCCAGGAAUUUCGGAUCCUGACAAUCCACUUGUGCCGCCACCCGCCGAGGUGCGAUACGAUUAGUGACUGCCUAUCGGAGCUCCCCGAUGACCUCCUCCGCCGCUCAACCUGGCCAUGGUUCGCGGCGGGAGUAGUUGAUUCUGUAUCUUCUGAACUCAUGACUGCAUUUCUUAAAUGAUGAGGAAUUAAUUAGCUUGCUGGCAUCUGAUGUUGUGAUCGGAUUGAUAGCAUCUUACAUUGGUGCCUCGAUGCAAUGGUCCUGCCUCCAGAGUGAUACAUUCUUUGCCUAUUUUAAUUUGUUAUUAAAGGGAAUCGGUGUAUCUUC
This is a long non-coding RNA of Lolium perenne, 537 nucleotides long. RefSeq lists it as uncharacterized. NCBI's taxonomy places the organism in Eukaryota, Viridiplantae, Streptophyta, Magnoliopsida, Poales, Poaceae. The record is from RefSeq and is a predicted model, not a curated record.